GUGAACAUGAUGUACACAGAACAUAAUCAGCACAGAAUUUGAAAUAUAUCAUGAUGUACACCCAAAAGUUAUAUAAUGUUAUAAUCCAAUGUUACUGCAAUGAAAAAAAAUUAAAAGAAUUAAGACUAAAUAUACGUGAUGGAAUAUCACGAUAAUAGGAGCAGAUGGAAUAUCGAGAACAGAAAUAGCUCCAAACAAAUAACGUCUUUUGUGUCUCUUCUGUUAGGUUGUUUGUAACCUAAAACAGUUCUGUCCUGGACAGUCUUGAUCCAGCAACCUUAGUAGAUCCCAUGCUUGCGUCUUGACCAAAUUCAUCUUGAAGAGCUUGGUUUUAAAUAACCUGUAGGUUGUACCAUUCAAGAGUCUUACAUUUGGGAGCACAGAGUUAAUUUGCUCUCUGGUGGGUACUCAAGGGUCUGCUCCCCGUCGAGCUGCUGCAGUGUGUAAGAGCAGGCUCAAUGGGUGUCCUUCCACUGGGAUCUGAGUGCUAUUUUUUCUUGGUAUUCCUCUUGUCUCUGGUUUGUAGUCCAUGGCGUGGUCCUCAGUGAGGGGUCAGGGGCAAGACAAGGGCAGCUUGCUGAUGAGAACACUGGCCAGCUCAGUCUAGUUUUUACAAAAGUGGACAACGUCAGAAUGUAACAGCUGAGAUUAGGGUGGCCAUACAACAUGCGAGCCAAACUAGGACACUUUUGAGAGUGAAGUGAGGGGGUGGGUAUGAAGAAUUAUGCUGGCACAAUGUGUUAGUCAGGGCUCUCCGGAGAAACAGAACAAAUAGGAAAUAGAUAUAUGUAUAAAUUAGAAGAAAUUUGGCUUAUGUUGUUGUGGAGGUUGAGAAGUCCCAAAUCUUCAGUCAGUGAGCUGGAGACCUAAUGAUUGGUGGUGGUGUAGUUUCAGUUCAAAUCCAAAGGCCUGAGAACCAGGAGAGCCAACAAGCGUAAGUUCCAGUCUGAGGGGAGGAGACCAAUGUCCCAGCUCAGUCAGGCAGAGAGAGACAGAAAUAGGGAGAGAAUUCUGCCUUAUUUGCCCUUCAUUGUUGAGGCCUUCAACUGAUUGGAUGAGGCCCACCCAAUUAGGAGUGCAAUCAGCUUUACUCAGUCUAUGGAUUCAAAUCUUAAUCUCUUCCAGAAACACCCUCACAGAUACACCAAAGUAACAUUUAACCAAAUAUCUGGGCAUCCUGUGGCCCAGUCAAGUUGACACAGAAAAUUAACCAUUACAGACAACAAGCAGAAACCAGGACUGGAAAAACUAAGAUAGAUGGUCACCCCAAGCAGAGUUCUCUAACGGGGAUAUAACACUAAAAUGCAGAGGUCUUCGAAGAACUGUUUCAAAAGGAUUCAUUAUUUUUCUUGUGCAGAGGAACGAAUUCUCAUGACUAUAAAAGGUGAAAGAGAAGACCAAGACAUUUCUGUUUCACCUACUGGAUCAGCCAGCUUGUUUUUGACAGUUGUAGCAACCUGUUUCACUUUUCCCAGGUUUGGGAAAGGUGGAUGUAGAUAUGGGUAGUAAAACUGUGAAGUGGCCCCAGUAGCCUGCCUGAUAGCUAGAGGAACUUGUCCGUUAAGCGAGGCUCUGUGCGAGGGGUGCACUGAAGGCCUUCUCCAGGUGGGGCCGAACGACAGACUGUGCUGAUGUCUUUGCAACAGGACAAAGGGGUGCUUUGCCCCAGGGGAGUGACUUCACCCACUCUGAAAAUGUCCCUCGCUCGGAGGACGUGUUCGCCACGCCUGAAGCUAAUAUUACAAGCAUUACGAUUUUACAUCAAGUUGGGAAGUACCCAAAAGCUGAAUCCGAGUCCGUACAGAUUUUUCCAGAAGCCAGAGGACACCCCAGGGUGAGGAUCAUCUCCACCCGCUCUGUCUCAGGCACAGAAGGAAAAUGACGUGUCUCCGCGGGGUGCGAAGAGCAAGCUGCGCCGCUGGGAGCCCGCGGUCCCCUGCUCCAUCAGCCGGGCGCCUCUGGGUCAGUCAUUGUGGUGAAGCUGGGACCCGGCUUCCAGUGGGGCUACACUGCAUGGCCCCAGGCUAAUUCGGUACAGGUGCUGUGCCGCUGCGUUGGGGCCCCCUCCCUGCAGGCUCUGACGGGCCACCACCUCGUCCUCCCCAGGGCUUCUCCCAUGCCUUGGCGGAAUGGCUUUGUGCCCCAACAAUGUGUAAAUGCCGAUGCUAUUUAACCCUUUGAAACUCUAAUUUUAUAAACAUAAUUCAUCUUAUCAAUCAUGCUAUUAUACAAUGUUUAUAAUAGAUCUAUUUUCUCUAUCUUCAUUGAGCAUCAUAAAGAUAUGUACGUUUCUAUGGACAAGAAUACACAGGCCAAAACCACAUGAGCAUGUACUUUACUUUUCCUUUAUUUCUAAAUUUAAAAUUCUUUGUUUGGAAAAUUUUCAGAUACAUCAAGUUUACUCCCUAACUACCUCAGUUGAGACUUAAAGGUCUCAAGUCA
Molecule: long non-coding RNA, 2442 nt
Filed under: Equus asinus (donkey)
Lineage: Eukaryota; Metazoa; Chordata; Mammalia; Perissodactyla; Equidae
Description: lncRNA (ENSEASG00005025780.1)
Source: RNAcentral